UACGUAGGGUGCAAGCGUUGUCCGGAAUUAUUGGGCGUAAAGAGCUCGUAGGUGGUUUGUCGCGUUGUUCGUGAAAUCUCACGGCUUAACUGUGAGCGUGCGGGCGAUACGGGCAGACUGGAGUACUGCAGGGGAGACUGGAAUUCCUGGUGUAGCGGUGGAAUGCGCAGAUAUCAGGAGGAACACCGGUGGCGAAGGCGGGUCUCUGGGCAGUAACUGACGCUGGAGGAGCGAAAAGCGUGGGGGAGCGAACAGG
This 256-nucleotide ribosomal RNA is filed under the name uncultured bacterium. RNAcentral's name for it is "partial 16S ribosomal RNA". It matches the Rfam family "Bacterial small subunit ribosomal RNA", at positions 524 to 776 of the family's 1533-position model. The record is from RNAcentral.